GGGGCUCAAGCACACCGCCGAAGCCGCGGCAUAUAUUUUUAUAUGGGUAGGGGAGCGUCGUGCAUGAGUUGAAGCAGUAUCGUAAGGCGCUGUGGAUUGUGUGCGAGUGAGAAUGCAGGCAUGAGUAACGAAUUGUAAGGUGAGAAUCCUUACCGCCGGAUGACUAAGGGUUCCUGGGUCAAGUUCGUCUUCCCAGGGUGAGUCGGGACCUAAGGCGAGGCCGACAGGCGUAGUCGAUGGAUAACCAGUUGAUAUUCUGGUACCCGUUUUAUCGCGCCCAUGGUAAAGCAUUGAUACUAACCACCCACAAGGCUGGACUUAAGCACCUUCGGGUGUGUGUUUGGUUGCGUGCGUGGGGCCUGAUAUGUGGUCCAAGCGAUGGGGUGACACAGUGGGGUAGCUAUGCCGCUUAGUGGAUUGUUGGUGUAAGCGUGUGAGGUGGUGUGUAGGUAAAUCCGCACACCGUAUAGCCUGAGGCGUGAUGCGUAGCCCGAUUGGGGUGAAGUUGGUGAUCUAGUACUGUCGAGAAAAGCCUCU
This 537-nucleotide ribosomal RNA is filed under the name Anophryoides haemophila. RNAcentral describes it as "partial Bacterial large subunit ribosomal RNA". It matches the Rfam family "Bacterial large subunit ribosomal RNA", at positions 1177 to 1622 of the family's 2925-position model. The record is from RNAcentral. Lineage: Eukaryota; Ciliophora; Oligohymenophorea; Philasterida; Glauconematidae.